UUUGUUUUGUUUUAGGCUUCCGCCUUUUGAAGCUGGGGCAAAAAAAACGAAGGCUCAUACACGUUCCUGGCACCUGCGAUGGUUAGACCCCAGGAACUGGGGGCUCCGAGGUCAGGGGCCACCCAGGCAUAGCUGCCUCUGUGUGAUCUCUGCAGCGUGGUGCCUCAGGGCUCCCGGGAUAAGUGUCCCGAGAGAGACAACAGAGACCCAGCCACGGAAGUCACAGAGCAUCACUUCUGUGCAUUUUCUUCCUCACGGACACGUCACGGAGGCUGACCCCUAGUCUCGGAAAAAGAAAUUAAAUUUCACCUCCUGUGGGAGGAGUGUCAAAGGAUGUGCAGGAUCCUGACCGACCCUGGUGCCGCCCUGUAUGGCCCCGUGUGAUGUGAUCGCCCCUUCUCUUGGAAUUUGACCCAGAACAUCACCACUGUUCCCAAGAGGGAGGCCCACCGGGUGGGCUGGGGAAGGAGCUUCUGUUGGGUGCACGGUUGGCUCAAUUUGCAGCCAUGCUGACUUCAGGGAAGGAGAGGAACAAGCUUCUGGAAGGAGGAGUCGGUGGAAGGCAGAGACUGGCAUCACUCACUGAUUACAAUGCAGCUCCAGCAAAUGAAACACAAAGAACGCUGGAUGUGGGGCCCACUGAAGCCUGAAAUCAUCCCAUUACCACACCGGAAGUCACCAGGAAGUACGAGUGCGUUUCGCCUCGAGAUGGCGACGGCACAAAGCACAGCAGUAUAGCUUCCGAGCCCACCGUGGGCUGGUAGGAAGGCUGGAAACCUGGGUUGUGGGCAGUGAGCAGUUCUUUCCAUGAGUCUGUGGUCAUUGCCUUUGGCGACGUUGGCCCAUUUGCCGUGCGAAAGGGUGAAGCGCGUGAAGGAGUCUACUGAAAGCCAUGGCUUGUUAAGAAAAGUCAUCCAAGUAUGAAGCAGAGAAGGGAGAACAGCUUUCAGGUAAUAGAUUUCUCUUUUUUCUGUUUGUGAUAGGUAGGGCAACGUCUAGUCUCCUCAUCUUAUGAAAAGAAAGUUACACUAAGAAAAAUGUGCUCCUGAGUCCAUUAAGAAAAAAGAAAAACUCACCACUGAUUAAAGAUCUCAUGAAGAGGUGCAGAAAUGAAUCACCUUCAAGUGUGUGAUUAUUUAAUUCUCUGAAACAGAUCAUUAUCUAAAUGAUACUCUCAAAAUUUGCAUAAAAUAUGCAGAGACACCAACGGCAUCUCCUCCGUGAAAAGCUCAAAGGAAGUUUGAAAAAUGAGCACGCUAUCGCCUCUUUUCCUUGCAAAUAUAUUGAUGGCACCUGGAGAAUGAAUUUGAAACAAUUCCCCCAAUUUCUAGGUAGGAGCUUGCUUCUCCGGCUGAAAUUCUCCAAAUCAGGUUGCUUUCUCUCUCCUGAUGCUGCAGGGCUCGUAAGUCUGAAAACAUCAACUAAUCAAAAAACAGGAACAAAAGGGAGAUGUGCAAAUGGUGGGGAUAAGGAGGCUGACGGAUCUUCAUAAAAAGAUCUCCUUUAAAAACAAACAAACCCCCCAAAAAAAGACCUCUUCUUUCAUGAUGGAGGACCCCAAGCGUGCUGAUGGACAAACGCCAGUACUGGGACCG
Molecule: long non-coding RNA, 1595 nt
Organism: Lynx canadensis (Canada lynx)
Lineage: Eukaryota; Metazoa; Chordata; Mammalia; Carnivora; Felidae
Exons: 4
Source: RefSeq, a predicted model, not a curated record